GAAGGUCGAACACGAAUAGCCAUCGCUGGCCGAACAAAGGUUGAAGAUGAUCGGAGAACAGUCAUCGAGCAAAUGCUUUGUUAAAACCCUUCAAGGUCUGGUCAUAGGACCUCAAAUACGAGCACGUAGAAGCCAUGAGAAACUAGUAUAGGUCUCCGAUGAGCCUGGGAAGUCAUGGUUUUGGGUUUCAGGGAGAGGUGGCGGUUAGGGUUUGAGGUGGGAUGAGAGAGAAUUGAGAGAGGAGGGAGAUUCAG
This 254-nucleotide long non-coding RNA is filed under the name Nicotiana benthamiana. Its description in RNAcentral is "long non-coding RNA (NBEN_LNC032513)". The record is from RNAcentral. Lineage: Eukaryota; Viridiplantae; Streptophyta; Magnoliopsida; Solanales; Solanaceae.